Molecule: transfer RNA, 76 nt
Filed under: Nitrospirota bacterium
Lineage: Bacteria; Pseudomonadati; Nitrospirota
Also listed under: 1 other name
Description: tRNA-Cys
Rfam family: tRNA
About the family: Transfer RNA (tRNA) molecules are approximately 80 nucleotides in length.
Source: RNAcentral
GGCGGCGUACCCAAGUGGCCAAGGGGGAGGUCUGCAAAACCUUUAUUCAGCGGUUCAAAUCCGCUCGCCGCCUCCA